RNAcentral lists this ribosomal RNA (253 nucleotides) under uncultured bacterium. RNAcentral's name for it is "partial 16S ribosomal RNA". It matches the Rfam family "Bacterial small subunit ribosomal RNA", at positions 524 to 776 of the family's 1533-position model. The record is from RNAcentral.
UACGGAGGGGGCAAGCGUUGUUCGGAUUUACUGGGCGUAAAGCGCGUGUAGGCGGUUUGGUAAGUUACUUGUGAAAUCUUCGGGCUUAACUCGAAGCGGCCAAGUAAUACUGCCGAACUAGAGUGCAGAAGGGGCAACUGGAAUUCUUGGUGUAGCGGUGAAAUGCGUAGAUAUCAAGAGGAACACCUGAGGCGAAGGCGGGUUGCUGGGCUGACACUGACGCUGAGACGCGAAAGCUAGGGGAGCAAACAGG